AUUCAAUUCAAAACAUUCUAAAGAGACAGAACAAAUUUUCUUCUUCUUGAUCGUUUGGUGGCUCUCUUUGAUUUCAAGUUUCUUUCACCGAUGUCCAAAAUGAAGUCCGAUAGUAGGCCUCCACUCGCUAAAUCGCCGAUCCGGCUCCGUCCCUGCCGUGUCCUUCAACCCUACACAACCUCUGUACAAACUCCUCCAGGUUCUUUGACUAAAUCCCAGAAGCCUAAUCCCAUAAAAAACAUGGAAGAAUCGGAUCUCCGCCCCGAGUACCGUACCAUAUCUUGGGAGUUACGUGCUCUAGCGAGAAUGGUUAAAGACGAAUUUGGAAAUGGAAAUUUAAAUGGUGCGGGGAUGACUAACAGUGUGAGUGCUAACUCGAGUCCCCUGUUUGAGAGAGGAAGGUUUUACGAGGUGUACUCAGCGAGGAGAAACGAGAGGCUGAAGAGAAAGAAAGGGGAGACGGAGGAAGAGGGAAAGACUACAUACAAUCUUGGAGUAACGGUUGAGUCUUCAAAGAAGAGAGAUUCGAAGAAAUUGGAAAGCUUGAGGAAAUCGGUUUCUGCUGCAUACUCUGUGGAGAGAACUGAGAAUCCCAGGUAUUCCUUGAGAAGCUUGAGCAAAGAGAACAAGAAGCCUCCUCUGGCUGUCAACUAUGAGAAAUCUGCGCUUGCAAGAGACAGAAAAAUUGGGGCUCGAAGGGUUAAAAAAAUCUGAAUGUUGGAAAGGUAGGUGUCUUUUUUAGGAGUUUAAUGGAUUUGCUAUUUUCUUUGGGAUUAGGAAAAACUUGAUUCAAUUUGCUUUGGGGUUUAAAUUGUUCUUGCUAUGGUUUAAAUGGAUUUUUGAACUUUGAUGAUCUCUGGCAAAUAGGUUGCAUCUCGAUCUUAGUUUUUUAUUGCAUGAGAUCAUCAAGUGGAUAUUAUUAAUUUUCUCCUGUUAAAAGUGGUUGAAGCCUGUUCAGAAACUGUAAUCUCUAUUAACCAAACAUGCAAUAAUAUCUCUUGCAGAUGGGUUUCAAAUAUAUAAAAGCU
RNAcentral lists this unclassified non-coding RNA (1028 nucleotides) under Hevea brasiliensis (rubber tree). Lineage: Eukaryota; Viridiplantae; Streptophyta; Magnoliopsida; Malpighiales; Euphorbiaceae. The record is from RNAcentral.